GACGAACGCUGGCGGCGUGCCUAACACAUGCAAGUCGAACGGAAAGGCCCUGCUUUUGUGGGGUGCUCGAGUGGCGAACGGGUGAGUAACACGUGAGUAACCUGCCCUUGACUUUGGGAUAACUUCAGGAAACUGGGGCUAAUACCGGAUAGGAGCUCCUGCUGCAUGGUGUGGGUUGGAAAGUUUCGGCGGUUGGGGAUGGACUCGCGGCUUAUCAGCUUGUUGGUGGGGUAGUGGCUUACCAAGGCUGUGACGGGUAGCCGGCCUGAGAGGGUGACCGGCCACAUUGGGACUGAGAUACGGACCAGACUCCUACGGGAGGCAGCAGUGGAGAAUGUUGCACAAUGGGCGGAAGCCUGAUGCAGCAACGCCGCGUGCGGGAUGACGGCCUUCGGGUUGUAAACCGCUUUCGCCUGUGACGAAGCGUGAGUGACGGUAAUGGGUAAAGAAGCACCGGCUAACUACGUG
This 468-nucleotide ribosomal RNA is filed under the name uncultured bacterium. RNAcentral's name for it is "partial 16S ribosomal RNA". It matches the Rfam family "Bacterial small subunit ribosomal RNA", at positions 28 to 507 of the family's 1533-position model. The record is from RNAcentral.